CCCUUAGAUGUUCUGGGCCGCACACGCGCUACACUGAAGGAGGCAGCAUGUACUCCUGGAUCGAAAGAUUUGGGUAACCCGCGAAUCUCCUUCGUGCUAGGGAUUGAGGUUUGCAAUUAUCCUUCAUGAACGAGGAAUUCCCAGUAAGUGCAAGUCAUAAGCUUGCGCUGACUACGUCCCUGCCCUUUGUACACACCGCCCGUCGCUACUACCGAUUGAAUGAUUUAGUGAGGACUUCGGACUGGGACCGAUGCGGCUUUCGGGCUGCGUCGGUAUUCUGGAAAGAUGUCCAAACUGUNUNAUUUAGNGGAAGUAAAANUCGUANCA
RNAcentral lists this ribosomal RNA (327 nucleotides) under uncultured eukaryote. RNAcentral's name for it is "partial 18S ribosomal RNA". It matches the Rfam family "Eukaryotic small subunit ribosomal RNA", at positions 1470 to 1796 of the family's 1831-position model. The record is from RNAcentral.